RNAcentral lists this ribosomal RNA (439 nucleotides) under uncultured bacterium. Its description in RNAcentral is "partial 16S ribosomal RNA". It matches the Rfam family "Bacterial small subunit ribosomal RNA", at positions 338 to 795 of the family's 1533-position model. The record is from RNAcentral.
CCUACGGGUGGCAGCAGUGGGGAAUAUUGCACAAUGGGCGAAAGCCUGAUCCAGCAACGCCGCGUGAGCGAUGAAGGCCUUCGGGUCCGAAAGCUCUGUCCUCAAGGAAGAUAAUCACUGUACUUGAGGAGGAAGCCCCGGCUAACUACGUGCCAGCAGCCGCGGUAAUACGUAGGGAGCUAUCGUUAUCCGGAAUUACUGGGCGUAAGGGGGGCGUAGGUGGUUUCUUGAGUCAGCGGUGAAAGGCUACGGCUCAACCGUAGCACGCAGUUGAAACUGGAGACCUUGAGUUCAGGACAGGCAGGCGGAAUUCGUGGUGUAGCGGUGAAAUGCAUAGAUAUCAGGAGGAACCCCAGUUGCGAAGGCGGCUUUCUGGAGUGCGACUGACGCUGAGGCACGAAGGCGCGGGGAGCAAACAGGAUUAGAUACCCGGGUAGUC